This 519-nucleotide ribosomal RNA is filed under the name Chernokrilus misnomus. Its description in RNAcentral is "partial 16S ribosomal RNA". It matches the Rfam family "Bacterial large subunit ribosomal RNA", at positions 1796 to 2580 of the family's 2925-position model. Lineage: Eukaryota; Metazoa; Arthropoda; Insecta; Plecoptera; Perlodidae. The record is from RNAcentral.
UCGCCUGUUUAUCAAAAACAUGUCCUCAAGUUAAGAAUUUGAGGUCUAGCCUGCCCACUGAACUUAGUGUGUUUGAAGGGCCGCGGUAUUUUGACCGUGCAAAGGUAGCAUAAUCAUUAGUCUUUUAAUUGAAGGCUGGUAUGAAUGGUUGGACGAGGUAUUGACUGUCUCAGUGUAAAUGAUAUUAGAAUUUAACUUUUAAGUUAAAAGGCUUAGAUAGAGUUAGAGGACGAGAAGACCCUAUAGAGCUUUAUAUUAGAUAUUUAUUCUUUGUGUAGUUGUAGCUAGAGUGUAGAUGGAAUAGUAUUUUGUUGGGGUGACAGGAAGAUAGGAUAAACUCUUUUUAAUUUUAAACAUUGAUUUAUGAGUAGUUGAUCCAUUAUUAGUGAUUAUAAGACUAAGUUACCUUAGGGAUAACAGCGUAAUCUUUUUUGAGAGUUCUUAUCGACAAAAAGGGUUGCGACCUCGAUGUUGGAUUAAGGGUAAUUUUGGGUGUAGAUGUUCAAAGUUUAGGUCUGU